UGAUCCUGGCUCAGAGCGAACGCUGGCGGCAGGCCUAACACAUGCAAGUCGAACGGACCCUUCGGGGUUAGUGGCGGACGGGUGAGUAACACGUGGGAACGUGCCUUUAGGUUCGGAAUAGCUCCUGGAAACGGGUGGUAAUGCCGAAUGUGCCCUUCGGGGGAAAGAUUUAUCGCCUUUAGAGCGGCCCGCGUCUGAUUAGCUAGUUGGUGAGGUAAUGGCUCACCAAGGCGACGAUCAGUAGCUGGUCUGAGAGGAUGACCAGCCACAUUGGGACUGAGACACGGCCCAAACUCCUACGGGAGGCAGCAGUGGGGAAUCUUGCGCAAUGGGCGAAAGCCUGACGCAGCCAUGCCGCGUGAAUGAUGAAGGUCUUAGGAUUGUAAAAUUCUUUCACCGGGGACGAUAAUGACGGUACCCGGAGAAGAAGCCCCGGCUAACUUCGUGCCAGCAGCCGCGGUAAUACGAAGGGGGCUAGCGUUGCUCGGAAUUACUGGGCGUAAAGGGCGCGUAGGCGGAUCGUUAAGUCAGAGGUGAAAUCCCGGAGCUCAACUUCGGAACUGCCUUUGAUACUGGCGAUCUUGAGUGUGAGAGAGGUAUGUGGAACUCCGAGUGUAGAGGUGAAAUUCGUAGAUAUUCGGAAGAACACCAGUGGCGAAGGCGACAUACUGGCUCAUUACUGACGCUGAGGCGCGAAAGCGUGGGGAGCAAACAGGAUUAGAUACCCUGGUAGU
This 734-nucleotide ribosomal RNA is filed under the name uncultured marine bacterium. RNAcentral's name for it is "bacterial SSU rRNA". It matches the Rfam family "Bacterial small subunit ribosomal RNA", at positions 14 to 794 of the family's 1533-position model. The record is from RNAcentral.